This 378-nucleotide long non-coding RNA is filed under the name Cicer arietinum (chickpea). RNAcentral describes it as "long non-coding RNA (CARI_LNC002206)". The record is from RNAcentral. Lineage: Eukaryota; Viridiplantae; Streptophyta; Magnoliopsida; Fabales; Fabaceae.
AAAAACACAAACCAGUUAAAAAACCAAUUGUGAAACCACCAGUGACAACUCCAACUCCACCCAUCACAGUCCCUCCAACUUUACCUAUUCCACCAAUUGUGAAACCACCAAUUUCAAUACCACCAAUAACAAUUCCACCAACUUUGCCUAUUCCUCCAAUUGUGAAACCACCAAUAGCAAUUCCACCAACUUUGCCUAUUCCUCCAAUUGUACCAACUUUGCCACUACCUCCAAUUGUGAAACCACCAAUAACAAUUCCACCAAGUUUACCAAUCCCUCCAAUUCCAGGACUCCCUCCAAUUCCAGGAAUCCCUCCAGUUCUUAACCCACCAAGCAAAGGAGGAAGCACACCUUCUUCUCCAAAAAGUCCUUGUCCAC